GCCCGACUUGAACGGAGCUCUUUUUCUUUUCUGCUGCUUGGAUUUGGGUUUGGAAGCAGAAAAUAAAAAAGCGGGAGUGGAAGGCGGAAAAGCUG
Molecule: small RNA, 95 nt
Filed under: Epilithonimonas xixisoli
Lineage: Bacteria; Pseudomonadati; Bacteroidota; Flavobacteriia; Flavobacteriales; Weeksellaceae
Description: Chryseobacterium xixisoli Flavo-1 RNA
Source: RNAcentral